This is a long non-coding RNA of Anolis carolinensis (green anole), 2366 nucleotides long. The record is from Ensembl. NCBI's taxonomy places the organism in Eukaryota, Metazoa, Chordata, Lepidosauria, Squamata, Anolidae.
AUGGGUCAUGCAUGUGUAGAGGUGCUCAGAAAAACUUUAGAAAUAUGCACAGAUUUUGAGUGUGAGAAAUGUGAAAAUUUAUUAGACUGUGCAGUUUGUUCAGAGAUGGGAAUUGAAUCAAAAGAGCACCCUAAAAGAUCUGGAAUUAAGACCCAGGAAAUGUUUGAAAUGGUCCAUCUAUAUGUAACAGAAUCUGAUGUAAAAAGCCAGGGAGGUUCUCAAUUUACUUUGCUUUUAGUAGAUAGAAACACGAGAUUUGGUUAUAUUUACUUCCUUAAGGAUUUGAAGGAAGCUGUUGUAAAGGUGUCUACUUGGAUAAACAUGGUUCAAAGGGUCUAUGAACAGCAAGUAGGUCAAAUAGUUUUUGACAAAGGAAUUAAUGUGUGUAAUGAAAAGUGAUGUUCUGAAUAUGUCCCAAUGCCCAUUUACACCUGGGGCCCAUUUAUGCUAUACAAUUAUGAAGCUUUUAUUUCAUCCUAUGGGAUCCUGGUUUAAGGAAACACUGGAGUGCUGUAGCUGAAAAUUCAAAAUGCUUUUCACUGAGCUGUCAAUCUAAUCCUAGGACAAUAAAGAAUAAAACCAUGGCAAUUAAACUAUGUGUACCAAAGCCGCUUUUCAUAGAAUACAUGCACUAAGUCUGCUUCAUGCUUUCCUUCUCCUACCACCUGAAAAGUCAAUUAUUGCCAACUCAUUUCGAAACAGUGUAGAAAUUUAUUAAAGUAUUAAUCUGCCAUCAGGGGAGAAAAGACCUUGGCACUUUUAUCCUUCUUCCGCACUCUUGUGAUGGCAUCCUUGGCUUUUAUUACUGUCUGCAAAGUCACAUUUAUCACCAUCUGGAGAAGUAUUAGUUAAAAGGAAAGAAAGGGGAGAUCUGCAGAUGAUGUAAGCUCUCGAUAGCAGAUGUUAAACAUCCCAAAAUUAUGUACAUUAAACAGUAGGCUUUCCUCUAAAGAAUAAAUAUAACCAUAAUAAUUAUAUUGUCACUAUGUCCUGCAAGUCAAUGACAGUAGAUGCUAUUGGGAGGAGGCGGGGAGAUUUAAUGGGCCAGUACAAGUGCAAACAUCAUGCCUGGGCUUGGUACCCCAUUAUUUUCUAGCAACCAUCUGCAGCAUCCAAUGCCACUCGUUCACUGCCUACUAGAGUUAGAUAAUUUCCACCCAUGGUUGAUGUUAGGAUUAAACUACAUUGAUGCAAGGAGAUAACAAACAAAAAACUCUCUUUCAUGCCAUUUGAGGCUGUAAUUAUAUGCACACUUUCUUAAGUCCAUUAAAUUCAAUAGAAUCUACUAGUAAAUAGACAUGUAAAUGUUCUAUAAGGAAGCCACAGUGAAUACAUUGCAGUAAACACAGCAUUUUAGGGGGGGAAAUCUUAAGUUACUGCUUCUCCUACAGCUUAAAGAAAAUGACUUUGUUGUGCUAAUGGAGAAGGACAUUUCACUACCUUUCUUUUACUGCCUUGUCCACAGUUUGCUCAUGGACAAGAAGGAAUGUGGCCUCUGUUUGCCCCAAACACUCCCCAAGAUUGCUUUACACACUAUCUUAAACUACAAUCUCAAAUAAGAAGCAGAUCUACAACCUCAACAUUAUUAUUAUUUUUACCAUAGUUUUGUUGUUAAAGGCCGUAAUAUUGAUUUUGGUUCAUAACUCCCCCUAUCAUUAAUCACCCUUCUCAGUUCUUGCAAACUCAGAGGUGUGACUUCCUUGACUGAGUUCAUGCAUUUGGAAUGUGUUCUUCCUCUUUUCUUACUGCCCUCCACUUUGCCAAGCAUUAUAGCCUUUUUUUUUAAUGAAUCCUGCCUUCUAAUGAUUUUGCCAAUGUACAACAGUCUCCGUUUAGUCAUCUUGGCUUCUAGGGAAAAUAGUUCAGACAUGAUUUAAUUUGUCUUUUUAGCAGUUCAUUGUAUCCAUAUAACUCUUCUCCAGUACCACAUUUCAAAGGAGUUGAUUUUCGUCCUUUCACAACCACACAUAGGAAUAUUAUGCCAUGAACAACUCCAAUGUCAGUAUUCAAUUACAUAUAUUUUGCCAAUAGUAUGUUGUCAUCUGCAUAUUAAAAAUUGUUGAUGUUCUCAUAGAGCUUCUGCUAUACCCCAGUAGCUUCUCAAGUGCCUUCUAUCCUGCAAAUGUCCUCUUUUAUCUCUUGUUUAAUUUUGGAUUGUCUUGUGAUAGAUUGCCUCCUAUCAUGGUAAAAUACAUUCAAAGAGGUUUUACUGUGCAGUACUAACAAAGCAUUAGCUGUCUUCUGGCAGACCUAUCCAGUCAGUUUUUAACUAUGAAUUUUAAUGUCACAUUCUAUGUUUACUGUGUUUUAAUUUUUGUUCCAUGUAUUUUUAUAUGUGUAGAAAUGUGUUUUAAUAGGUGCUUUUA